This 305-nucleotide ribosomal RNA is filed under the name uncultured bacterium. Its description in RNAcentral is "bacterial SSU rRNA". It matches the Rfam family "Bacterial small subunit ribosomal RNA", at positions 335 to 636 of the family's 1533-position model. The record is from RNAcentral.
UGUACCUACGGGACGCAGCAGUGAGGAAGAUUGGUCAAUGGGCGAGAGCCUGAACCAGCCAAGUCGCGUGAAGGAUGACGGCCCUACGGGUUGUAAACUUCUUUUGUCAGGGAGCAAUUGAGUCCACGUGUGGUCUUAGCGAGAGUACCUGAAGAAAAAGCAUCGGCUAACUCCGUGCCAGCAGCCGCGGUAAUACGGAGGAUGCGAGCGUUAUCCGGAUUUAUUGGGUUUAAAGGGUGCGUAGGCGGAAUAUCAAGUCAGCGGUAAAAAUUCGGGGCUCAACCCCGUCGUGCCGUUGAAACUGA